Molecule: ribosomal RNA, 468 nt
Filed under: uncultured bacterium
Lineage: Bacteria
Description: partial 16S ribosomal RNA
Rfam family: Bacterial small subunit ribosomal RNA
Source: RNAcentral
GACGAACGCUGGCGGCGUGCUUAACACAUGCAAGUCGAACGGAAAGGCCCUGCUUUUGUGGGGUGCUCGAGUGGCGAACGGGUGAGUAACACGUGAGUAACCUGCCCUUGACUUUGGGAUAACUUCAGGAAACUGGGGCUAAUACCGGAUAGGAGCUCCUGCUGCAUGGUGGGGGUUGGAAAGUUUCGGCGGUUGGGGAUGGACUCGCGGCUUAUCAGCUUGUUGGUGGGGUAGUGGCUUACCAAGGCUUUGACGGGUAGCCGGCCUGAGAGGGUGACCGGCCACAUUGGGACUGAGAUACGGCCCAGACUCCUACGGGAGGCAGCAGUGGGGAAUAUUGCGGAGUGGGCGGAAGCCUGAUGCAGCAACGCCGCGUGCGGGAUGACGGCCUUCGGGUUGUAAACCGCUUUCGCCUGUGACGAAGCGUUAGUGACGGUAAUGGGUAAAAAAGCACCGGCUAACUACGUG